Molecule: unclassified non-coding RNA, 349 nt
Filed under: soil metagenome
Description: partial contains 5.8S ribosomal RNA, internal transcribed spacer 2, and large subunit ribosomal RNA
Rfam family: 5.8S ribosomal RNA (bases 1-119)
Source: RNAcentral
GAUGAAGAACGUAGCGAAAUGCGAUAAGUAAUGCGAAUUGCAGAAUCCGUGAGUCAUCGAAUCUUUGAACGCACAUUGCGCCCUCUGGUAUUCCGGAGGGCAUGCCUGUUCGAGCGUCAUUAUCACCCCUCAAGCCCGGCUUGUUGUUGGAUGCAGCGCUUAUCCCGCUCCUCCCAAAGAUAAUGACGGCGUCUGCGACGACUCCUGUACACUGAGCUUUCGGGCACGUACACGGCUAGAAGUCCAGACCCGGUCGCCGUCCCCCCCGCGGGGACACCCAUUACCACAAGGUUGACCUCGGAUCAGGUAGGAAUACCCGCUGAACUUAAGCAUAUCAAUAAUCGGAGGA